CCGUAGUAGCUACAGGCCAUGCCAGCAAGGAUGGUUUUGAAAGUGCUGUGGCGUGUAGAGAAGAUCCUGGGAGGGAGAGGCGCUGUCUGUAAAGAGAAGCUAAGAAAGCAAUCAGGAUGCAAGGGUGACCAUGAAACGCUGGAGGGAGAAGUACAGGCUGUCUAAGUCAGACCGUCCAAAGAAGGGUACCCAAUGACUGAGGACUACACAGAUGACAAAGCUUGGAAAAGUACUGCAGCCUCCGGAGCCUUUAGAAUCCAGAAGACAUCCAUGCCAAAAGCAGAGCUCAACAA
Molecule: long non-coding RNA, 293 nt
Organism: Pogoniulus pusillus (Red-fronted tinkerbird)
Lineage: Eukaryota; Metazoa; Chordata; Aves; Piciformes; Lybiidae
Exons: 3
Source: RefSeq, a predicted model, not a curated record